RNAcentral lists this ribosomal RNA (253 nucleotides) under uncultured bacterium. Its description in RNAcentral is "partial 16S ribosomal RNA". It matches the Rfam family "Bacterial small subunit ribosomal RNA", at positions 524 to 776 of the family's 1533-position model. The record is from RNAcentral.
UACAGAGGGUGCAAGCGUUAAUCGGAAUUACUGGGCGUAAAGGGCGUGUAGGUGGAAUUUUAAGUUAGAUGUGAAAGCCCCGGGCUUAACCUGGGAGGGUCAUCUAAUACUGGGAUUCUAGAGUACGGUAGAGGGAAGUGGAAUUUCCGGUGUAGCGGUGAAAUGAGUAGAUAUCGGAAGGAACAUCAGUGGCGAAGGCGACUUUCUGGACUGAUACUGACACUGAGACGCGAAAGCGUGGGUAGCGAACAGG